GUUUAUAGUGCCAAAGAAGUGUUCAGGUGUUUUGCUGAGAACGGGGAAAGCCGUUCUAGGAAACCCCUGUAAGGCAAAGGACUCAGACCUGCCCAGAUCGAGGUGCUCUCUCAAAUCUGCCAGGGUUGGAUUACACUCAGUAACUCAACCAGCAUCCAUCCCUCAGCUAUUUCCAGAGCGCCACCUACUGCCAGGCUCCAGGGCGUGCAGCAGUGAAAGCCAGUCAUUGACCCUGCAGUGGGGAGCUUACCUUCUAGCCGCCAAUAUCCAUGAUCCAAGUAAGUACCUAUGUGAGAUAUCCAGGGAGCUGUGGGUGUGGAUAAGAGACCUCUGAGCCUGGGUUGAUAACUGAUGUGCGUGUUUUACAUUUAUUCAAGGACUUGAGAAGGUCAAGGAUAUCACUUAGAGCUUUUGGCCAAAGCUGAAAGCUGGCCAUGCUACAGAAUGAAAUGAAAGAGGUUUCUAUUUUCUUCAUGUUCAGAAAGCAGGCCGUGGUACCGCUGGGAUUCACCUCCUCUCCCCAAGCCAUUUCCAGCUUCAUAGAAAAGGUGAGAAAACCGAGGGACAGUGGGGUAACAUGACUUGCUCCAGGGCACACGGUUAAGAAAGUGACAGAGCUGAAAGGAACUUCUGCAACGCAACAACCGGAAAAGAAAAGCAACCCGAGUCAAAACUGAGCAAAGGACGGGCACACAUGCACAUUUCUCUGAAGAAAGCAUCAAAUGGUCAGCAAGCACACGGAAAGAUGCUUGACGUCAGUAAUCGUCAGGAAAAUACAAACCAACACUACAAUGCAAUGCCACUUCACACCUAGUAGGAGCAUUAUUAUAAAAAAAGAAAGGAAGAAAGAAGAAAACAAGUGUUGGUGAGAAUGUGGAGAAACUGGAACCCUUGUGCAUUGCUGGUGGGAUACACAAUGGAGCAGCCAUUGUAGAAAAACUAUAUGAAUAUGGCGGCUCUGCAAAAAAUUGAACAUACAGCUACCACAUGAUUCAGCAAUUCCACUUCUAAGUAUAUACCCCAAAUAAUUCAAAGCUGAUACUUGUGAACAGACACUUGUACACCCAUAAGUUCACAGCAGCGUUGGUCACAAUAGCCAAAAAGUGGAAACAUUGCAAAUCUCCACUGAUACAUGAAUGGAUAGACAAAAUGUGGUGUAUCCAUUCAGUGGGUGAGUAUUCAGCCCCAAAAAGGAAUUACAUUCUGACACAUGCUACAAGAUGGAUGAACCUUAAAAAUAUUAAGUGACGUUCAGUCAGUUCAGUUCAGUCGCUCAGUCGUGUCCGACCCCAUGAAUCGCAGCACGCCAGGCCUCUCUGUCCAUCACCAACUCCCGGAGUUCACUCAGACUCACGUCCAUCGAGUCAGUGAUGCCAUCCAGCCAUCUCAUCCUCUGUCGUCCCCUUCUCCUCCUGCCCCCAAUCCCUCCCAGCAUCAGAGUCUUUUCCAAUGAGUCAACACUUAGCAUGAGGUGGCCAAAGUACUGGAGUUUCAGCUUUAGCAUCAUUCCUUCCAAAGAACACUGGGACUGAUCUCCUUCAGAAUGGACUGGUUGGACCAGACACAAAAGUAUUGUAUGAGUCCAUUUACACGAGGUACCAAGAGCAGUCAAAUUCAAAGAGACAGAAAGUAGAAUUGUGGUUGCCAGAGGCUGGAGGGAGGACAGAAUGGGGAGUUAUUGUUUAUUGGGUACACAGGUUCAGUUUGGGAUGUUGAAAAGUUCUGGUAAUACACAAGGUAAUGACUGCACAACAAUGUGAAUGCCACUUAAUGCCCCUGAAUUGUACACUUAGAAAUGGUUACAAUGGUGAAUUUUAUGUUGUAUCUUAUAUUUUUGUUUUUUAUUUUUUGUAUUUUUUAUGUUGUAUCUUACAACUAAAAAAAUGAAAGAAAAAUAAAUGUCAGAGUUGGAUCAGGA
Bos taurus (domestic cattle) is the source of this 1918-nucleotide long non-coding RNA. The record is from Ensembl. NCBI's taxonomy places the organism in Eukaryota, Metazoa, Chordata, Mammalia, Artiodactyla, Bovidae.